UAAAUGCGGAAGAGAUAAGUGCUGAAAGCAUCUAAGCACGAAACUUGCCCCGAGAUGAGUUCUCCCUGACUCCUUGAGAGUCCUGAAGGAACGUUGAAGACGACGACGUUGAUAGGCCGGGUGUGUAAGCGCAGCGAUGCGUUGAGCUAACCGGUACUAAUGAACCGUGAGGCUUAACCUUACAACGCCGAAGGUGUUU
Molecule: ribosomal RNA, 199 nt
Filed under: Escherichia coli
Lineage: Bacteria; Pseudomonadati; Pseudomonadota; Gammaproteobacteria; Enterobacterales; Enterobacteriaceae
Also listed under: 1 other name
Description: partial 23S ribosomal RNA
Rfam family: Bacterial large subunit ribosomal RNA
Source: RNAcentral